Molecule: ribosomal RNA, 1113 nt
Filed under: Escherichia coli
Lineage: Bacteria; Pseudomonadati; Pseudomonadota; Gammaproteobacteria; Enterobacterales; Enterobacteriaceae
Description: bacterial SSU rRNA
Rfam family: Bacterial small subunit ribosomal RNA
Source: RNAcentral
AGAGUUUGAUCAUGGCUCAGAUUGAACGCUGGCGGCAGGCCUAACACAUGCAAGUCGAACGGUAACAGGAAGAAGCUUGCUUCUUUGCUGACGAGUGGCGGACGGGUGAGUAAUGUCUGGGAAACUGCCUGAUGGAGGGGGAUAACUACUGGAAACGGUAGCUAAUACCGCAUAACGUCGCAAGACCAAAGAGGGGGACCUUCGGGCCUCUUGCCAUCGGAUGUGCCCAGAUGGGAUUAGCUUGUUGGUGGGGUAACGGCUCACCAAGGCGACGAUCCCUAGCUGGUCUGAGAGGAUGACCAGCCACACUGGAACUGAGACACGGUCCAGACUCCUACGGGAGGCAGCAGUGGGGAAUAUUGCACAAUGGGCGCAAGCCUGAUGCAGCCAUGCCGCGUGUAUGAAGAAGGCCUUCGGGUUGUAAAGUACUUUCAGCGGGGAGGAAGGGAGUAAAGUUAAUACCUUUGCUCAUUGACGUUACCCGCAGAAGAAGCACCGGCUAACUCCGUGCCAGCAGCCGCGGUAAUACGGAGGGUGCAAGCGUUAAUCGGAAUUACUGGGCGUAAAGCGCACGCAGGCGGUUUGUUAAGUCAGAUGUGAAAUCCCCGGGCUCAACCUGGGAACUGCAUCUGAUACUGGCAAGCUUGAGUCUCGUAGAGGGGGGUAGAAUUCCAGGUGUAGCGGUGAAAUGCGUAGAGAUCUGGAGGAAUACCGGUGGCGAAGGCGGCCCCCUGGACGAAGACUGACGCUCAGGUGCGAAAGCGUGGGGAGCAAACAGGAUUAGAUACCCUGGUAGUCCACGCCGUAAACGAUGUCGACUUGGAGGUUGUGCCCUUGAGGCGUGGCUUCCGGAGCUAACGCGUUAAGUCGACCGCCUGGGGAGUACGGCCGCAAGGUUAAAACUCAAAUGAAUUGACGGGGGCCCGCACAAGCGGUGGAGCAUGUGGUUUAAUUCGAUGCAACGCGAAGAACCUUACCUGGUCUUGACAUCCACGGAAGUUUUCAGAGAUGAGAAUGUGCCUUCGGGAACCGUGAGACAGGUGCUGCAUGGCUGUCGUCAGCUCGUGUUGUGAAAUGUUGGGUUAAGUCCCGCAACGAGCGCAACCCUUAUCC